UUUGCAUAAGAGCGAUGUCGCUAAAAAUUGGAUUAAUCCAACUUUUCAACAGUGGCCUAGUUUCCAUAGUCAAACGACAGGGAAAUACUCGAUUGUAGUUGGUUGGUUCAUACAUUCUGAUUCUGAUUAAACUCUCAGUGGAAACUAGGCCAGUGUCGCUGGUGGUAAGAAAGUGAGCAAAUUGAGGGAGAAUUCAGUCACGUGAUCACGUACCGCAGUAACAAGUGACACCAUGAAGUUGUACCUUAAGGCUUCAUAGACAGAGACGGUGGAGAUUUAGGCCAAUAUUACAUGCGUCUGUUUUUUUGUGUACGACGAAUUUUUCAAGCGUGUCAAUUUGCUGUACGACAGAGAGGAUCUCGGACUUCUUUCCUAUAGUCAUGGAGUAUAGAGAAUAGGAGGCUGAACUAGGCUUUGUGGUGGUCAAAAUCAGAGGUGUAGGAGAAAGCGGCACGGAACUUAGUGGACCGAUAUAUGGAGAAGGAUAAGUAAUUUUGGUAUCUGGUGACAAGAGAGUUAAAAAAGAAAUGAUGUUCAGAGUUCAACUAAAGGAGACGUCACAGAUAUAAAGGAGUAUUGGAGCGAAGGAGAGAAAAUACAAGACAGCACAGAUAGAGAAUAAAACGUUGUCAAAUCUUAAGCCAGCCAGAUCUCUGGAAAUAUAUGGUCGUAUUUACGAACACAAGGCGAACAUAGGCGAAGCGAAGACAAGAAUUUUGAAUACGUUGUAUUCGAUUUAGCAGAUAUUGGUUAAGAGACGGAACAUAGACACAUCAACGAAUAAACAAAUAGAUAAAUAAAGUAAUUGAGUUUUUGAGAGCAGGAAAGGAUGGGACAAAGGGGAUAAAGAUAAAUGAGCAUAAGCAGCCCGACACUUGACGGCUACAUGUGACUCGAAUGACUAUGAAGAGUCAACAUGAACAUCAAGAAUCUUAAUAAGGGAGGAACGAGGAAUUGAAGUAGAAUUAAGAAAAAUGUCGAAGGACGGAAUAUGGGAUAACAAUGUUGAGGAACCGACAAUCAACAAGGAUGAUUUAGAAGGAUUUAGAUGCAGGGCAUAUAGUGGACUAUUCGGCAAUAGAUUUUAAGUCUGUAUUCAAAGCAGAACAGGUUGCUAAAGCAUCGAAUGGAUGAAAGGAUUUGAGAAGAAUUAUGUCAUUUGCAUACAUGAAGAGCUCAGAGCACAGAGAAACAUUAGACAAAUCAGAGACAAAAAUAUUAAAGAGUAAAAGUCCGAGAAUGGAAUCCUGGGGAAUACUAGAGAGAAUGGCACGAGUAGAGAAGAAAAGAGGAAAAGGAUAAUAUACGAGAACUUGUUGCGUGCGGUUUGUAAGGAACGAGCAGAUUAACGAGAGAGCAGGAUGAGAAAGAUUGCAUAACUUGAGUUUGACUAAAAGUAGGUCAUGAUUGACGGUAUCGAAAGCCUUUGUGAAAUCCAGCGCAACGAUGGAAGUAAGGCAACAAUUGUCGAAAUUACGAAGCACAAUGUCAAAGAUAUGAAGCAAUUCCUUCGUCGUGCUGUAAGAUCGACGAAAACCAGACUGACAGGAGAGAAGGAUAUUAAAUUGGAGACAAAGGCAUUUUAAGUUGUGAGAAGCAGAUCACACUCAAGCAGCUCUGAGAGGAAAGGGGGAGCAAGAUAGGACGAAAAGAUGAAGAGAAGAAGGGUUAUUAGUUUUAGGAAUGGGAGGAAUAAUUGAGUGUUUCCAGGAGAAGGGAAAGGUACUGUGAGAAAAGAGAAAUUUAACACAUAGAGAAGGGGAUCAAGAGACAUUGAGGAAGGCACAGUAGGAGCGAUCGAAGAGAUCGAGAAGCCCAGAAAGAAGUGGAAGUCAAGCGAAUGCGCUUAAAAAUAUUGUAGAGAUCAUGGGAGAUCAAUCACUGGGAGUGAUUGGAGCAAAAUUGAAGGUCGAGGAAACGUGAAGAGAGGAGGAAAGAAGAUCCUGCCUUUAUUAAAUCAG
RNAcentral lists this long non-coding RNA (1961 nucleotides) under Acromyrmex echinatior (Panamanian leafcutter ant). RNAcentral describes it as "uncharacterized LOC105144992, transcript variant X2". The record is from RNAcentral. Lineage: Eukaryota; Metazoa; Arthropoda; Insecta; Hymenoptera; Formicidae.